Molecule: unclassified non-coding RNA, 216 nt
Filed under: Hevea brasiliensis (rubber tree)
Lineage: Eukaryota; Viridiplantae; Streptophyta; Magnoliopsida; Malpighiales; Euphorbiaceae
Source: RNAcentral
GCAUUUUGUUGUAUUGGCUUGUUACAAACACCUGAACUUGUCUCAGCCUCGGCUUUCAGAUCACCAUUAACCUUGAGACGUUUAGCUUCGCAAUCAGUCAGCUCAUUUCCGCUGCUGGUGGAGGCGAGCUUCUCAUCCUCCUCCUCGUCCUCCACCGCCGCCGCAGCGGCGGCAUCCUUCCGCUUCUUUUUACCGCGGCCUCCGCCGCUCUGCUCU